This 481-nucleotide ribosomal RNA is filed under the name uncultured bacterium. Its description in RNAcentral is "partial 16S ribosomal RNA". It matches the Rfam family "Bacterial small subunit ribosomal RNA", at positions 28 to 506 of the family's 1533-position model. The record is from RNAcentral.
GAUGAACGCUCGCGGCAGGCCUAAUCCAUGCAAGUCGGACGGGAUUCAGGAGCUUGCUUCUGAUGAGAGUGGCGCACGGGUGCGUAACACGUAUGUAACCUACCUUUAUCAGGGGGAUAGCCUCUCGAAAGAGAGAUUAAGUCCGCAUAAAAUCACAGCACAGCAUUGUGUAAUGAUCAAAUAUUUAUAGGAUCAAGAUGGGCAUGCGGAACAUUAGCUAGAUGGCGGGGUAACGGCCCACCAUGGCGACGAUGUUUAGGGGAUCUGAGAGGAUGGCCCCCCACACUGGUACUGAGACACGGACCAGACUCCUACGGGAGGCAGGAGUAAGGAAUAUUGGUCAAUGGGCGGAAGCCUGAACCAGCCAGGCCGCGUGCAGGAAGACGGCCCUACGGGUUGUAAACUGCUUUUAUACGGGAAUAAACCCAGAUACGUGUAUCUGGCGGAAUGGACUGUAAGAAUAAGGAUCGGCUAACUCCGU